GUUAGUGAAAUGAAGAGUUGCUACAGGGCAGAAAGCAAAUAAUAAGAGCUCUGUAAACCAAUUUGGUUACUUACUUUCCCUCCAACUCAGGUGCCAUUCACUUAAGCAUUCUUGUGAAGGAACAGCUAUCGGCUAAGUCGUACCAGGGAAAUGCCAAUACAAAAAUAUCAGUAUGUACCUUAAGUAUUGAAUGGAUGUCAAAUACUGGGCAUGAAGAUUGCUAAGCAAAUCUAAGGAACAACUCUCCAAAGGCCACAGAUAGAGGAUUUCACUCUGUCAUUCAGGCUGGAGUACAUGGCUCACUGCAGGCUCGAACUCCUGGGCUCAAGCCAUCCUUCUGCCUCAGCCUCCGGAGUAGCUGGGACUACACGGUCACAUCAGUAUGCCUGGCUAUUUUUUUUUUUUUUUUUUUGAGGCAGAGUCUUGCUAUGUUGCCUAAGCUGAUCUCAAACUCCUGGCCUCGAGUAAUCUUCCUCCUCUACAGCCUCCCGAAGUGCUAAGAUUAGAGGUCUUCAGACAGACUGGAAGUGCAUCAUUGGUGUUCCUGGGUCUCUAGGCUGCAGAUGGUACAUCAUGGAAAUUUUCUACCUCCAUAAUCAUGUAAGUCAAUAUUUUACAAUAAAAUUGUUUGUUUG
This 635-nucleotide long non-coding RNA is filed under the name Callithrix jacchus (white-tufted-ear marmoset). Its description in RNAcentral is "lncRNA (ENSCJAG00000076069.1)". The record is from RNAcentral. Lineage: Eukaryota; Metazoa; Chordata; Mammalia; Primates; Cebidae.